GCGCCUGUAGCCUAAUGGAUAGGGCACUUGUCUUCGGAACAAGGUUAUGUGGGGGUUCGACUCCCCCCGGGCGCGCCA
This 78-nucleotide transfer RNA is filed under the name Patescibacteria group bacterium. Its description in RNAcentral is "tRNA-Arg". It matches the Rfam family "tRNA". Rfam says of the family: Transfer RNA (tRNA) molecules are approximately 80 nucleotides in length. Their secondary structure includes four short double-helical elements and three loops (D, anti-codon, and T loops). The record is from RNAcentral.